AAUGAACGCUGGCGGCAUGCCUUACACAUGCAAGUCGAACGGCAGCAUGACCUAGCUUGCUAGGUUGAUGGCGAGUGGCGAACGGGUGAGUAAUGCAUCGGAACGUGCCUUUUAGUGGGGGAUAACGUAGCGAAAGUUACGCUAAUACCGCAUAUUCUCUGAGGAGGAAAGCAGGGGACCUUCGGGCCUUGCGCUAGAAGAGCGGCCGAUGUCGGAUUAGCUAGUUGGUGAGGUAAAGGCUCACCAAGGCAACGAUCCGUAGCGGGUCUGAGAGGAUGAUACGCCACACUGGGACUGAGACACGGCCCAGACUCCUACGGGAGGCAGCAGUGGGGAAUUUUGGACAAUGGGCGCAAGCCUGAUCCAGCCAUGCCGCGUGAGUGAAGAAGGCCUUCGGGUUGUAAAGCUCUUUCGGCUGGGAAGAAAUCGCACCCUCUAAUACAGGGUGUGGAUGACGGUACCAGCAUAAGAAGCACCGGCUAACUACGUG
This 490-nucleotide ribosomal RNA is filed under the name uncultured bacterium. Its description in RNAcentral is "partial 16S ribosomal RNA". It matches the Rfam family "Bacterial small subunit ribosomal RNA", at positions 29 to 507 of the family's 1533-position model. The record is from RNAcentral.